UGGGGAAUAUUGCGCAAUGGACGAAAGUCUGACGCAGCAACGCCGCGUGAGGGAUGACGGCCUUCGGGUUGUAAACCUCUUUCAGCAGGGACGAAGCGAGAGUGACGGUACCUGCAGAAGAAGGACCGGCCAACUACGUGCCAGCAGCCGCGGUAAUACGUAGGGCGCAAGCGUUGUCCGGAAUUAUUGGGCGUAAAGAGCUCGUAGGCGGCUUGUCGCGUCGGAUGUGAAAGCCCGGGGCUUAACCCCGGGUCUGCAUUCGAUACGGGCAGGCUAGAGUUCGGUAGGGGAGAUCGGAAUUCCUGGUGUAGCGGUGAAAUGCGCAGAUAUCAGGAGGAACACCGGUGGCGAAGGCGGAUCUCUGGGCCGAUACUGACGCUGAGGAGCGAAAGCGUGGGGAGCGAAC
RNAcentral lists this ribosomal RNA (406 nucleotides) under uncultured bacterium. RNAcentral's name for it is "bacterial SSU rRNA". It matches the Rfam family "Bacterial small subunit ribosomal RNA", at positions 355 to 773 of the family's 1533-position model. The record is from RNAcentral.